Molecule: ribosomal RNA, 1009 nt
Filed under: Pseudomonas lini
Lineage: Bacteria; Pseudomonadati; Pseudomonadota; Gammaproteobacteria; Pseudomonadales; Pseudomonadaceae
Description: bacterial SSU rRNA
Rfam family: Bacterial small subunit ribosomal RNA
Source: RNAcentral
UGCAGUCGAGCGGUAGAGAGGUGCUUGCACCUCUUGAGAGCGGCGGACGGGUGAGUAAUGCCUAGGAAUCUGCCUGGUAGUGGGGGAUAACGCUCGGAAACGGACGCUAAUACCGCAUACGUCCUACGGGAGAAAGCAGGGGACCUUCGGGCCUUGCGCUAUCAGAUGAGCCUAGGUCGGAUUAGCUAGUUGGUGAGGUAAUGGCUCACCAAGGCGACGAUCCGUAACUGGUCUGAGAGGAUGAUCAGUCACACUGGAACUGAGACACGGUCCAGACUCCUACGGGAGGCAGCAGUGGGGAAUAUUGGACAAUGGGCGAAAGCCUGAUCCAGCCAUGCCGCGUGUGUGAAGAAGGUCUUCGGAUUGUAAAGCACUUUAAGUUGGGAGGAAGGGCAGUUACCUAAUACGUAUCUGUUUUGACGUUACCGACAGAAUAAGCACCGGCUAACUCUGUGCCAGCAGCCGCGGUAAUACAGAGGGUGCAAGCGUUAAUCGGAAUUACUGGGCGUAAAGCGCGCGUAGGUGGUUCGUUAAGUUGGAUGUGAAAGCCCCGGGCUCAACCUGGGAACUGCAUUCAAAACUGACGAGCUAGAGUAUGGUAGAGGGUGGUGGAAUUUCCUGUGUAGCGGUGAAAUGCGUAGAUAUAGGAAGGAACACCAGUGGCGAAGGCGACCACCUGGACUGAUACUGACACUGAGGUGCGAAAGCGUGGGGAGCAAACAGGAUUAGAUACCCUGGUAGUCCACGCCGUAAACGAUGUCAACUAGCCGUUGGGAGCCUUGAGCUCUUAGUGGCGCAGCUAACGCAUUAAGUUGACCGCCUGGGGAGUACGGCCGCAAGGUUAAAACUCAAAUGAAUUGACUGGGGCCCGCACAAGCGGUGGAGCAUGUGGUUUAAUUUCUAAGCAACGCGAAGAACCUUACCAGGCCUUGACAUCCAAUGAAUCUGCUAGAGAUAGCGGAGUGCCUUCGGGAACAUUGAGACAGGUGCUGCAUGGCUGUCGUCAGCU